AGGGUUCGAUUCUGGCUCAGGGUGAACGCUGGCGGCGUGCCUAAUACAUGCAAGUCGAUCGCACUACUUCGGUAGUGAGAGGCGAACGGGUGAGUAACACGUAGGUAACAUAUCUAUACGACGAGGAUAACGGUUGGAAACGACUGCUAAGACUGGAUAGGAGUAGAGGAGGCAUCUCUUUUACUUUAAAGGACUUUUCGGAGUACGCGUAUGGAGUGACCUGCGGCGCAUUAGUUAGUUGGUGGGGUAGUGGCCUACCAAGACGAUGAUGCGUAGCCGGACUGAGAGGUUGAACGGCCACAUUGGGACUGAGACACGGCCCAGACUCCUACGGGAGGCAGCAGUAGGGAAUUUUCGGCAAGUGGGGGGAACCCUGACCGAGCAACGCCCGCGUGAAUGACGAAGUACUUCGGUAUGUAAAGUUUCUUUUAUUAAGGAAAGAAAGUGCAGGUAGGAAAAGCUGCAUUGACGGUACUUAUUGAAUAACGCCCCGGCUAACUAUGUGCCAGCCGCGGC
Molecule: ribosomal RNA, 516 nt
Filed under: uncultured bacterium
Lineage: Bacteria
Description: bacterial SSU rRNA
Rfam family: Bacterial small subunit ribosomal RNA
Source: RNAcentral